This is a long non-coding RNA of Aedes albopictus (Asian tiger mosquito), 571 nucleotides long. RefSeq lists it as uncharacterized. The transcript is spliced from 3 exons. Lineage: Eukaryota; Metazoa; Arthropoda; Insecta; Diptera; Culicidae. The record is from RefSeq and is a predicted model, not a curated record.
ACUGUUGGCGACACUGGCAGCACUGUAGGUAUCGAUAACGAAUAGGAUCCGUGGGAUAUAGGCAUCGGUCACGGACGUCAUCGGCAUCGGUCACGGACGUCAACGAUCGUGCAAUGACUGACAGACAAAACGUCAAGGCAGAGUGGAGAGAUGAAAAUUGUUUAUUCUUUCCCAUGUGAUGAGUAAAGCACCUGUUUGCUAAUCUAUGUACAUAAAUAACUUGCCGAUAUUAAUACCUUUUCGAUACUUAAUAGUUACGCGUAGCAGCCUGCAUUGAAGUGCUUGAACUAUAAACUGUAGGUUUAUGAAAUUUCAUGCAUUGUGUGAUCCUUAAAAUGAAUUUCUUUAGUACAGGCUAAGUGUAACCACGAAGGUUCGGACAGAAUUCUAACCCCUCUAAUUCUGUUAUCAUUAGUAAUAUAGAGUAAACCGGUCAUCACCUUACUGAAGACGGUAUUGAAUAUUUGUUGGGCUAGAUUGGAAUUAAAAGGACCAGUUUCUUUAAGAAUUCAGCACAGUAACCCCUGGUGCGAUUCUAUAUCGAAGUCCGAAGCUUCUACCCAACACAUAC